AGGGUUGUAGUUAAAUUACUAACAUUUGAUUUGCAUUCAAAAAAUAUUAAAUUCAUUAAUCUACCUUG
RNAcentral lists this transfer RNA (68 nucleotides) under Neorhodesiella sp. Its description in RNAcentral is "tRNA-Ala". Lineage: Eukaryota; Metazoa; Arthropoda; Insecta; Diptera; Chloropidae. The record is from RNAcentral.